Non-coding RNA from Ciona savignyi (Pacific transparent sea squirt), 82 nucleotides. The record is from Rfam. NCBI's taxonomy places the organism in Eukaryota, Metazoa, Chordata, Ascidiacea, Phlebobranchia, Cionidae.
GGUAGCAUGGCCGAGCGGUCUAAGGCGCUGGUUUAAGGCACCCGUCAUUUCGAUGGCGUGGGUUCGAAUCCCACUGCUGCCA